CCUACGGGAGGCAGCAGUGAGGAAUAUUGGUCAAUGGGCGGAAGCCUGAACCAGCCAAGUAGCGUGCGGGAUGAAGGCCCUACGGGUCGUAAACCGCUUUUGCACGGGGAUAACACCCUCCACUUGUGGAGGUCUGCAGGUACCGUGCGAAUAAGGGCCGGCUAAUUCCGUGCCAGCAGCCGCGGUAAUACGGAAGGCCCGAGCGUUAUCCGGCUUCAUUGGGCUUAAAGGGAGCGUAGGCGGGCGUUCAAGUCAGCUGUAAAAGCGCGCGGCUCAAACGCGCCCCGCAGUUGAAACUGGACGCCUUGAGUUCACAACAGGCAGGCGGAAUUCGUGGUGUAGCGGUGAAAUGCAUAGAUAUCACGAGGAACCCCGAUUGCGAAGGCAGCCUGCCGGGGUGCGACUGACGCUGAGGCUCGAAGGUGCGGGUAUCAAACAGGAUUAGAUACCCCAGUAGUC
RNAcentral lists this ribosomal RNA (459 nucleotides) under uncultured bacterium. RNAcentral's name for it is "partial 16S ribosomal RNA". It matches the Rfam family "Bacterial small subunit ribosomal RNA", at positions 338 to 795 of the family's 1533-position model. The record is from RNAcentral.